Sinocyclocheilus grahami is the source of this 245-nucleotide long non-coding RNA. RefSeq lists it as uncharacterized. The transcript is spliced from 5 exons. The record is from RefSeq and is a predicted model, not a curated record. NCBI's taxonomy places the organism in Eukaryota, Metazoa, Chordata, Actinopteri, Cypriniformes, Cyprinidae.
UUGUCCAUUCCUUACCGUGACCCACAGAGAGUAGCCAUGUCUUCUGGAGAAGUCCCUAUAGUAGACCCUGAUGCUGACUUUUCUUAUGACUAUGAGAAUCUGCGCAUUGGAGGCCUGAUCUUUGCUGGGGUCAUUGUGGUACUAUCGGUCCUCCUCCUGACAGGUAACCGCAUCAAACGGUGUGGCAAGCGUAAGGUGAAGCAUGUGGAUGAAGAAAUUUAAGAUGGCUCAUGUCUAUACUGGAU